UACGUAGGGCGCAAGCGUUGUCCGGAAUUAUUGGGCGUAAAGAGCCCGUAGGCGGCCUGUUACGUCUGCUGUGAAAUCCCGGGGCUUAACCCCGGGCGUGCAGUGGAUACGGGCAGGCUGGAGGCAGGCAGGGGAGAACGGAAUUCCCGGUGUAGCGGUGAAAUGCGCAGAUAUCGGGAGGAACACCGGUGGCGAAGGCGGUUCUCUGGGCCUGUACUGACGCUGAGGCACGAAAGCGCGGGGAGCAAACAGG
This 253-nucleotide ribosomal RNA is filed under the name uncultured bacterium. RNAcentral describes it as "partial 16S ribosomal RNA". It matches the Rfam family "Bacterial small subunit ribosomal RNA", at positions 524 to 776 of the family's 1533-position model. The record is from RNAcentral.